Molecule: long non-coding RNA, 7237 nt
Organism: Brassica napus (rape)
Lineage: Eukaryota; Viridiplantae; Streptophyta; Magnoliopsida; Brassicales; Brassicaceae
Exons: 2
Source: RefSeq, a predicted model, not a curated record
UAUCCUAUAAUAAAAGGGAUAUAUAAUCCACAGGAAAGGUGUCCACGUCACUUUAAAAAUCAACCAAUAAUGAAGUUUCAUUUUGCCACGUCAGUCUGCUGUUAGUCAACACAAAAUUUUCGCAGGCCAACUUAGUUAUGGGCUUCUGAUUUUCUGUGUUGUCGUGGCUCAUCAUUAUAGCCCAAAAUACAUAUCAUUAUUAUUCAAAAUACGGGCAAAAUUAAUUAAUCACAGCCACCGUUUACAACCUUUUCAGAUUUCUCUACUGUAAAGAUUCUGAUUUAAUUGACAUAAAGUUUACCUAGCCAUCUGUUACCUCUUCUUCAUCUUCUGCCGUUUAGAGUAUGCUCAAACUUCUACAUGUCAAUCCAUUUUCCAACUUCUCUUUGAUACAUAUAUAUAUAUAGACUCCAAAUCCUUGAACCAUCGCUAUGGUGGCCCUAAAACGCUCCAAAUCGUCGAUCUCUGACUGUUUACUUCGACAAAGUCGCCGCCUGUCAAGUUGAUUCACUUUUGAGAAGCCCAUAUCCCGCUAAAGUCGGGAUGCUAAUCGGCCUUCACCUGCUUCUGAUCGAAGAAUAGGUAUGACCUAAUCUUCUCAAACCCCUCAAUUUGAUAGUGCCAGUUUAUGUAACCUAACAUAUAUCACACAUCCACAUGGCUCCAUUGUUCUGAAGCCGCUAUGAAGAUUUUCUGAAGCGUGUCUCCUCCUACAGUUCUUUAGGGAAUCCACACAUUGCUUUUGAACCAGUCAAUCGGAAUCGAAAUGGGUGUUUCAGAAAUGCAUUUGGAGUAACGGCGAGUGCGGCGUCUUCUUCGUUAGUCUCUACGAUCUGCGCGACGGCGAGAAGAGAUUGCUGACGUUUCGGCUGAACACCGGGGCGUGCGAUCGGAUUUCGGCGGUUACGCUUCAGAGAGAGUUUAUGAGAGAGACGACGGUUGCGGAUGGAUGUUGCGACGAACACGUGGCGAAGGAUGUGGGGUUAGGUAAGGCGAUAGAGGAGAUGAUUCCGAGUGGGGAAGGGGAUAAACUGUUUUGGGCGCAUUGGAUGGACGUGCUGGGUUACUCGCUGAAUGCAUUCCGGUUCUCGAAUUUGAGUUUCGUGGAUGGACGCUGAAGACCCGAACCGGAGAUCUCAGGUGGUAAGGAUGAAACUGGAAAAAGAUCAGACUCUUAAACUUGUGGCUGUAAGUGUCUCUCCUUAUUCCAGCAACUUCUAUAGUUGUGUGCGCAGAUUUGCUUACCAUUAUUGCUUAUUAAGCUAGAUUAUAUACUUUACUAUUAAUUUAUUUAAAUAUUUAAUAUUAUAUUGAAAUGAUAAUCUUUUCUGAUAGAUAGUGGUUAUAUAUGAACACUUAUCUCUGCAAUCAAACAGUGUUAUCUAAAUUGUUUGUUAAAUGAUGAAUGGACAAAAUAAGUCCCAAGGCGUUUUCAUAUUUGAUGACAAGGGGUCCGGCUACAGAAGUAAGCUUCAGCUUAGGAACUAAGGAAACCAAAGUUGUGUUUUGUAAUUAUACUAUGUUUUUGGAAUUAUGUUCAUUGGCGUAAGUUGCCGUUAGUCGGUAAGAUUGUACUUGCUUUUUAACCUUUUCCUUAGUGAUUUUCAAAAUUGGUAAAGACCUAUUUAAGUUUUUCCUGCGUUCUUUGCCAAUUCCUCUUCCAAGUGUUUUGCAAGUUGUGACUUAUUUCUUCGUUUCAGAAUUAUACCUAGAUUACUGGUAUUUUUAUAGCUUAAUGGACCCUUUUAUAAAAAAGGAUUGAUCUUUUUAGGAAAACAUGUAAAGUAGAUUCAAUUUGAUCUAAGAGUGGUAUGUAAUUUAUUAAUCUUCAAAAUGAAUUGUUUCUCUAAUUAUUAUUUUUCAUUUCAAUAUUUUGGUGUAGCUUUAUCAAAUUACAUAUAAAAACUCAUUUGUAUACUUCCAUAUGUAUUCAACAUACAUACAAUGUACAAUAGAACAUCUAUAAAUUGAACAUUAUUUUCUAUAAAUUAAUAAUGUUGGGACUUUGAAAUUAUGUUAAUUUAUAGAGAUAUUAAUUUACAAAAAGUUUCUUUUUCGAUUCUUUUCGACUUUUUUCUAUUUUUAUUUAUACCAUAUAUACAUAAAUAAAAAAUUUAGAAAAUUGACUUUCAAAUUGUUUUAUUAUAUUACUUGGUUUAUAUUUUUAUGUUUUAUAUAACUUAUAUGUGGUUUUUCGAUAUAAUUUUACUAAAUAUUAUCAAAAUAUAUUGAAAUGUUAUGAAAAAAUAGAAGUAUUUUUAUUGUGAAUAUAAAAUCAAUAAUAUAAUAUUUGGUUUGUACUUAUAUGAAAUGUAUAUAUAGAUAUAUUAUUAAUUUAUGAUUUUAAUGAGACCAUAUAUUUACAUAGGAUUUUCUAAGAACAUAUUAUCUUCUUAUUUUAUUGAUUUGUGUCAUAUUUUGAACCGGCCGAACUUGGGACCGGAAUUUUUUAUUAAUUUAUAGAGGGUCUACUUUAGUAUCAAAUAAUAUCAUAAAUAUUGAUGAACUUCAAAUCUAUAAAGUUUUACCUAAUAUAUAUUAUUAUGAAAGCAUUCAUUCCUUCUUUUAAAUAUAAUAUAUUUUUAAAAUAUAAGUCUAAAAAUGAAAAUUUCUCUAAAUUAAUAGCUCUAUAAAUUAAUAAAUUAUCAUAGUUCCAAUAUUAUUAAGAGUUUUAUUGUACUAUUAAAUUUCCGAAGUUAAAUUAUAUACUAUAAUGCAAAUUAUGUUCAAGCGACUACGAAAUAAAAUGUAAUACAAGUACAAACUUUAAGAUAAAUUCCGGAGUAAGUUGAUUGUAUAUUUGUGAUGAUUAAAUUCAGUCACAAAUAGUUUACAAGUUAUUUUUUUAAAACAAAUUAUUAAGUGAAACUCAAAAGUAUCCACUAACAAUUAUAUAAUUUUGUAUUUAAUUAAUAUUUAAUUUUAAGAUUUAUUAAAUCACAAAAUUCAACACUAUUUUUCUCUUCAAAACAAAAUAGUGAAGAAAAAGAAUUCAGUUUACUAUAAUACCAAAAUAUUUUCCAAAUAAAUUCAUUCACAAAUAGUUUACAAGUUAUUUAAAAAAACUAAAUUAUUAAGUGAAACACAUAAGUAUACAGUAAAAAUUAUAUAAUUUUAAAUUUUUUUAAUAUUUAGUUUUAAGAUCUGUUAAAUAAAAAAAUUCAACACUAUUUUUCUCUUCAAAAAAAUGGCGAAGAAAAAAAAAAUUCAAUUUACUAUAAUACCAAAACGUUUUCCAAUCCAGUAAUAUAAUUUAAAAUAUUUAGUCAAAAGAAUAUAAUUUAAAAUGCAGAAUGGUGGUAAAAAAAGGGUAGUUCCAAAUAAUAAAAAAACGGAUGCAGUACAAAAAAAUAAACAAGAAAGAUAUACACUCUAUUUUCUGUAACUCUAUGAAAAUUUAAAUUAUUUGCCCACAUAAACCGUCUGAGAACAAUAUAAAAUCACACAAAUAGAUCGAUAAAUUAGGAAUGGUCUUAAUCUACUUAGAUAAAAAAUGUAUUACUAUUAUCAGUUUAGUCAUUCAAAAAAUAGUAAUAAACAUAAAACCAAACAAUAAUAUGGACAAAUGGUUAAAGUUAAAUUUCUUAUUUUUAAAAGCAUAUAAACAAGAAGAAAUUUUUGAAAAUGAAUAGAAUUUAUGAAUUUACAGAUAUUGUAGUACAUAUCAGUGGUAAUAAAUAUAGGCUAACUCCACAUCAUAUAUCUUUAAGAACAUUUCCAAUAUAAAACUUCAUUUUUGUUCCUAAAUAAAGUAAUUUUAUAAUGGAAUUGAAUUUACUCUCUAACCAUGCUCUAAAAAUGGAGUGAAAAUAAAGUAAUAGACAAAAAAAAUAAAAUAAUUACUCUAUUUAUCGAGUUAUCCAUGUUUCCUCUAUUAUAAAAUAAAAAUAGAAUAAGGUUAUAGCAUUUCUUACUCCAAAUUUUAUUUUGAAAUAAAUUAUGUAGUAGAGUUGAAAAUGUCCUAAGGUCAACUAAAAACAACAAUAUACUUAGCAAACAGUACAAACAAAUGUUAUAAGGCAAUACACUGUAUAAGGACACACAUCUCCAAAUUCAUAUGCAAAAAAACAGAAGUUGUUAAGGUUGUUUAUGAAUAAGUAAGGGAUGUUACAUACACUUUAAUACCUAGAAAGAACAACUCUCUUAUUUUAAUAGACUUCAUCAAGGUAUUUUAGAAAAGUAGGUAUUUCUUCAGUUAUAAAUAUGGUUUACAAUAAUGUAACCAACUGUUUUUACAUACAUUGUGUCAGUUAAAAUUUUGUAUUGAAAAUUUAAUUUCAUUUUGUUUAACCAUUUGUUUAACCAGAAUAAUAAUAAUAAUAAUAAUAAUAAUAUUUUUUAAACAAUGGGCAGCGUAGACCAGUUUUUGAUAGUACUUAAAAAACCAUAUGAUACAAAAGAGUAGAGAAACAUAACAAUGAGUCAUAAGAAGAAAUGCAGAUAUUUGUAACGACUCACCAAACUGCUCUAAAAAAAACCAUUGGAUCAGUUUCAAACAUAGGUAUUCAUUAUAUCCCUGCAGUAAGUUUUUUUUUUCGUUUUAGAGCAUUUUCAACUUCAAUUUAUAUUUUUAUUCUAAAAUAAAAUUAAGAGUAAAAUGAUAUAAUUUUACUCUAUUUUUUGCUUAUAUAAUAGUGUAAAAGUAAGUUCAUUAAAAAAAAAGAUAUUGAUUCAAGAUUUAAAGAUUUAGGUGAGUGAAUUUGAUUAGUUAUCAAAAACUAUUAUCAUUCAAAUAUUUAUCAAACAUAUAGUAAAAAUAUUUUUGAAAUAGAAUACAUUUAUAAAAAAAUAUUUAUAUAUUUGUCUGAAAUGAAGCUAAAGUCAUAGGUGUAUAAUUAUGCAGUAAAAUACACAAUAGUUAGAAAUAAAGUGGAAUUCAUCAACCUAAAGAAUCACAACCAAACAUCGCUAAUUACUGUCAAUUACUUUUUUUUGCAUAUUUUAUGAAUAUUUUAGUGAAAAAUAAUCCAAAUCAUUUUUAAAUAUAAAAUAUAAUAAGACAUAAUCCGCGCGUAGCGCGGAAAAAAGAUCUAGUAUAUUUAAGAGACAAAAAAGAGGAAAUUCCAAGCCUACAUACAGAUAAAAGCUCUGUAAAUUCAUAAUGUUGAGAUUAUGAUAAUUUAUUAAUUUAUGAAGUUUUUAAUUUAAAGAUACUCUCCUUGUUUAAAUUUAUAUUUUAAAAUAUAAUUUUAUUUUUUCGACAAAAAUAUAUAAAUAUAUAAAAUAUACUUUUGUUUAGAAAUUCUUUUUUAGUAAUGAUAUUAAAUUUACAAAAAAAAUUAAAGAUUUGGAUUUCAUCUAUUUUUUAGAUUGUUUGAUAUUAUUUUAUAUAUGGUGAAUACAUAUCAGCAUACAAUUAACUUUUAUAUGUUGUUCAACAAAAUAAAAUAUAAAUUAGAGAUGAAGUUUAUUUUAAAGAAAAUAAACAACAAAAUGCGUUGUGUAUGUUUAUAUAAUUUUAUAUAUAUAUAUAUAUAUAUAUAUUAGUUAUUAGUUUAUAAUUUUAAUAGAAUCAUAUAUUUAUCUAAAUUUUGUUAAAUAUUAUUAUUCUAUUAUGGGAAAACGAGCUAUUUCCCCACGAGAACUAUCAUAUAGCAUCAGAUGUCUCCCAAACUAUUGCAUCGUCCUAUAUAUCCCCGAAAAACAAAGUUCCAAAUUUAAUUCUCCACGAAACAAAAGUUAAAUACUUAUUUCCCCUUGAAUUUAAAGUUCGAAACUUAUAAACCCAUACAAAUUAAUUAUUUUGGUUUACUAUAUAAAAACUAAACCGAAAACAUUAUUUAACCGAUUAUAAACCAUGAAAGACCCGAUCAGGAUCCGAUUCUAUCUCUUAAACCAAUAACCAAUAACCCACACCCGAAAAUUUGUUAACCCGAAACCCACACCCGACAAUUAACCCCGAAUAGAAAUCUAGGUAAAAAAAAUCUGAGUGUUUCAAUUCUUGAAGAUGAAAGCAAAAGUGAAAUUUGGUAGAGAAGACUGAAGUUGAAGAACGAAAACUAAAGGCCUAGAGAUUAUAUAUUUUUCUGUGGAGAUGAUAUUAGUUGCAGAGGAGCUGAGCCGAGGAGAUGAAGCCUUAUUACGAGGAUGUGUUUCUUGGCUGUUAUAAAUAUUACAUAUGGUAAAUUGUAAUGAAGAUCCGUAGGUUGGUGGUUGUUGCAUUUUAAAUUAGCACUACAAGUCACGAGUUCGAGCUAAUGCUAUUGCACUUUAUGAAGUUUUGAUUUUAAUUAAAUGAAUAUAAAUGACGAUUUUGUCCUCGUCUUCUACCCUAUGUCUGCGAUUUGCAGAUCCUAAAUGUCCCACCUUUCACUCUCUUUUUCACGAUUUCACAGCUUUCUAAACUAAAUCUUGUGGGUUUUAUCCAAAUAUAAUAGACCCAUAUCAUAAACUAUGAUAUAACACUUGUAAUUUCAAAUUUUCAAGCUUUUUCAUUUCACCACCUUGGCUCAUUGAUUCUGACCAGACGAGAACUCGGAAAGUGACCACUCAAAGCUCUGUACGCAGAAUUUGACGACCCAUACAUUAUCAUUUCUGAUCGAUGAAGAUUCAAACAAUCAAAUUUUUUAAAAAAAUUAAUUUUAGGGUUCUUCACGUGUACCAUUGGAGAUUUUAAAAGAGGGUUUAGUGGGUCGGGUAAAACUUGGUCAAGUAUUGAGUUCAAAACUGGUUUUUCGGUUUUAUUUUACAGUUUGAUGGUCUGUACCGGUGAUUAUACCAAUUUUUUCCUAAACCAACAUUUGUGGAGAAAUCAAUCUCAAACUAUUUUUUCGGGGAUAUAUAAAAUGAGGCAAUAGUUUGGGAGACAUCUGAUGCUAUGCAAUAGUUCAUGUGGGGAAAUAGCUAGUUGACCCUUCUAUUAUCUUAUCAAAUCAUAUUUUAAAUUACCCUAACUUAAAACAAGAUAUUUAUUAAUUUAUAGAGUUUAUACUACACUAAUAUCAACUUUUCAAAAGAAAUCAGAUCACAAUAGUUUAGUUGGAGUCCAAACUGUCAAGACCAUGUAUAUACAGCGUUUAAUACUCACGGACUUUCACUUAAUUGCCUGCUAGGGACCAACAUGUAUGUUAACACUUUAUGAACAAAACUAAUCUCACAUAAGAAUAUGUUGUAUUACACACAAAAAAAAAAUAAAAAAGGAUUUUUAUAUACACACAAGAUAGUUGCACAAAGAAUGAGGUCAUUGUCGUCUUCACAGUAGAAAAUGAGCAGAACAAACAUUAUUCCAUCACCAAAA